GAUGAACGCUGGCGGCGUGCCUAAUACAUGCAAGUCGAGCGAACAGACGAGGAGCUUGCUCCUCUGACGUUAGCGGCGGACGGGUGAGUAACACGUGGAUAACCUACCUAUAAGACUGGGAUAACUUCGGGAAACCGGAGCUAAUACCGGAUAAUAUAUUGAACCGCAUGGUUCAAUAGUGAAAGACGGUUUUGCUGUCACUUAUAGAUGGAUCCGCGCCGCAUUAGCUAGUUGGUAAGGUAACGGCUUACCAAGGCGACGAUGCGUAGCCGACCUGAGAGGGUGAUCGGCCACACUGGUACUGAGACACGGUCCAGACUCCUACGGGAGGCAGCAGUAGGGAAUCUUCCGCAAUGGGCGAAAGCCUGACGGAGCAACGCCGCGUGAGUGAUGAAGGUCUUCGGAUCGUAAAACUCUGUUAUUAGGGAAGAACAAAUGUGUAAGUAACUAUGCACGUCUUGACGGUACCUAAUCAGAAAGCCACGGCUAACUACGUG
Molecule: ribosomal RNA, 497 nt
Filed under: uncultured bacterium
Lineage: Bacteria
Description: partial 16S ribosomal RNA
Rfam family: Bacterial small subunit ribosomal RNA
Source: RNAcentral